AGAGUUUGAUCCUGGCUCAGGAUAAACGCUGGCGGCGCACAUAAGACAUGCAAGUCGAACGGACUGAAAUCGUGUUUAACAUGAUAGAGGUUAGUGGCGGACUGGUGAGUAACACGUAAGCAACCUGCCUGAUAGAGGGGGAUAACAUUGAGAAAUCAAUGCUAAUACCGCAUAAACUGAAAAUACUGCAUGGUAUUUUUAGGAAAGGAGAAAUCCGCUAACAGAUGGGCUUGCGUCUGAUUAGCUAGUUGGUAGGGUAAAGGCCUACCAAGGCAACGAUCAGUAGCCGGACUGAGAGGUUGAACGGCCACAUUGGGACUGAGAUACGGCCCAGACUCCUACGGGAGGCAGCAGUCGGGAAUAUUGCGCAAUGGAGGGAACUCUGACGCAGUGACGCCGCGUAUAGGAAGAAGGUUUUCGGAUUGUAAACUAUUGUCGUUAGGGAAGAAAAGGACAGUACCUAAGGAGGAAGCUCCGGCUAACUAUGUGCC
RNAcentral lists this ribosomal RNA (491 nucleotides) under uncultured organism. RNAcentral's name for it is "SSU rRNA". It matches the Rfam family "Bacterial small subunit ribosomal RNA", at positions 8 to 509 of the family's 1533-position model. The record is from RNAcentral.